ACUGACUUUUUUGAACUCCAGCCCACAAGUGACUUCAACCGUUACUGUCAUGCAUCUGACUGCAUGUGUAAGCUGUAGAAACUCUACCGUUAUCAUAUCCAAGUCGGUGUGUUGUGAGGACUGCUGCCCUGAGAACGCUGAGUGCAUUCUGGAAUAUUCCAAAUGUGUGCCACUUCCAUACUGAAGAAGUUCUAAGCCCGCAAGAGAGUUCACUCACCAGUGGGCUCCAUCAACUAUCCAGGGCAAUGUCAGUCCGUCUGGAUGGCACUACCUGCUACUUGAUGAUGUCUAAAAAGCCAUGGCUGCUGCCUUCAAAAUGGUAGCCCUCACAAGUAAACUGAUAUCAAGACUUACAUAGAUGGUGAUGGUGGUGAGGGUGCCUUCAGAAGGUGCUAUCCAGCAGUCCCAGCCUGGAGCCAGAAGCUGCUAUUGCAAGUCAGAUGGGGGAGGAAAGGUGGUGUAGGCAAGAAGGCAAGAGCUGCUGCAGGCAAUGUUGCAAUUAGAUGCUGUCUUCAGCGAACACAAAACCACCCUGACCUGAUUAAUGGACACCAUGGGAAGUUAUUUGAAGUAUGCACCGGAAAGGGUGGGUGGUGGUGGUCGUCGGAAGACACUCCCUGCUGUUGCUGAAUGAUGCCAUCGGUUUACAUGCACAGCCUCUCGCACCACAUACACCUGAGUUUGGA
Molecule: long non-coding RNA, 686 nt
Organism: Alosa sapidissima (American shad)
Lineage: Eukaryota; Metazoa; Chordata; Actinopteri; Clupeiformes; Clupeidae
Exons: 6
Source: RefSeq, a predicted model, not a curated record